CCCUUAGAUGUCCUGGGCCGCACGCGCGCUACACUGAUGCAUUCAACGAGUAUUUCCUUGGCCGAGAGGCCUGGGCAAUCUUUUAAACCUGCAUCGUGAUAGGGAUAGAUUAUUGCAAUUAUUAAUCUUGAACGAGGAAUUCCUAGUAAACGCAAAUCAUCAAUUUGCAUUGAUUACGUCCCUGCCCUUUGUACACACCGCCCGUCGCUACUACUGAUUGGAUGUUUAAGCGAGGUUCUCGAACUGCUAGCGACUUAGCUUCGGUGAGGUCGCAGUGUGGGAAGUGAACCUAGCUUUGGUGUCUAGAGGAAGUAAAAGUCGUAACA
This 326-nucleotide ribosomal RNA is filed under the name uncultured eukaryote. Its description in RNAcentral is "partial 18S ribosomal RNA". It matches the Rfam family "Eukaryotic small subunit ribosomal RNA", at positions 1470 to 1796 of the family's 1831-position model. The record is from RNAcentral.